Molecule: non-coding RNA, 25 nt
Filed under: Rattus norvegicus (Norway rat)
Lineage: Eukaryota; Metazoa; Chordata; Mammalia; Rodentia; Muridae
Source: RNAcentral
UGAAAUAUAAGCCUACUCCUAAGAU